Molecule: long non-coding RNA, 258 nt
Filed under: Trifolium pratense (red clover)
Lineage: Eukaryota; Viridiplantae; Streptophyta; Magnoliopsida; Fabales; Fabaceae
Description: long non-coding RNA (TPRA_LNC013844)
Source: RNAcentral
GGAUAGAAAAGGGGGUGCAUAUCUUUACAACAAGAGACAUGGCUUUGAAUAGAAAAAUAUUUCCCUCACAUAUAAAUUGAGUUAUUAUCUUCCUGGAUUGCAUCACCGGUUUUUAAUUAUGUCUUGCUAGUUCUGUCACAUCGGAUAUGAUUCAUAUCCGGGAAGGACCUGUUGAAUCCUGGGGGAUUUGCGCUUAUGAGGCGAAUAAAUCCUUAAGGACAGUGCGAUCAGCACGCCUCAGGUAUUGUUCCAUGGUUC